Molecule: transfer RNA, 72 nt
Filed under: Araneus ventricosus
Lineage: Eukaryota; Metazoa; Arthropoda; Arachnida; Araneae; Araneidae
Rfam family: tRNA
About the family: Transfer RNA (tRNA) molecules are approximately 80 nucleotides in length. Their secondary structure includes four short double-helical elements and three loops (D, anti-codon, and T loops).
Source: Rfam by way of RNAcentral
GUGGGUAUAUCUCAGUGGUAGAAAAUUCGACUUCAAAUCGAGAGGUCCCCGGUUCAAACCCGGGUGCCCCUU